This 238-nucleotide ribosomal RNA is filed under the name uncultured bacterium. RNAcentral's name for it is "partial 16S ribosomal RNA". It matches the Rfam family "Bacterial small subunit ribosomal RNA", at positions 116 to 354 of the family's 1533-position model. The record is from RNAcentral.
CGUGAGGAACCUGCCUUCCAGAGGGGGACAACAGUUGGAAACGACUGCUAAUACCGCAUGAUGCAUUGAAGUCGCAUGGCUUUGAUGUCAAAGAUUUAUCGCUGGAAGAUGGCCUCGCGUCUGAUUAGCUAGUUGGUGAGGUAACGGCCCACCAAGGCGACGAUCAGUAGCCGGCCUGAGAGGGUGAACGGCCACAUUGGGACUGAGACACGGCCCAAACUCCUACGGAAGGCAGCAG